GGAUUAGAUACCCUGGUAGUCCACGCUGUAAACGAUGAUUACUCGGUGCUGGCGAUACACUGUCAGUGCCUAAGCGAAAGUGAUAAGUAAUCCACCUGGGGAGUACGAUCGCAAGGUUGAAACUCAAAGGAAUUGACGGGGGCCCGCACAAGCGGUGGAGCAUGUGGUUUAAUUCGAUGAUACGCGAGGAACCUUACCUGGGCUUAAAUGCAUAAUGACAGACUGGGAAACCAGUCCUUCUUCGGACAGAAUGCAAGGUGCUGCAUGGCUGUCGUCAGCUCGUGUUG
Molecule: ribosomal RNA, 287 nt
Filed under: uncultured bacterium
Lineage: Bacteria
Description: partial 16S ribosomal RNA
Rfam family: Bacterial small subunit ribosomal RNA
Source: RNAcentral